CCUACGGGAGGCAGCAGUAAGGAAUAUUGGGCAAUGGACGCAAGUCUGACCCAGCCAUGCCGCGUGAAGGAAGACGGCCCUAUGGGUUGUAAACUUCUUUUCUCAGGGGGUAAACUUCGGAACGAGUUCCGGACUGAAAGUACCUGAGGAAUAAGCAUCGGCUAACUCCGUGCCAGCAGCCGCGGUAAUACGGAGGAUGCGAGCGUUAUCCGGAUUCAUUGGGUUUAAAGGGUGCGCAGGCGGAUAUAUAAGUCGGAGGUGAAAUUCUGAUGCUCAACAUCAGCCGUGCCUUCGAUACUGUAUAUCUAGAGUCAAGUUGGAGUAGGCGGAAUGUGUUGUGUAGCGGUGAAAUGCUUAGAUAUAACACAGAACACCGAUCGCGAAGGCAGCUUACUAAACUUUGACUGACGCUCGUGCACGAAAGCGUGGGGAUCAAACAGGAUUAGAUACCCUGGUAGUCCACGCUGUAAACGAUGAUUACUCGCUGUUGGCGAUACACAGUCAGUGGCUAAGCGAAAGUGAUAAGUAAUCCACCUGGGGAGUACGACGGCAACGUUGAAACUCAAAGGAAUUGACGG
RNAcentral lists this ribosomal RNA (578 nucleotides) under uncultured Bacteroidota bacterium. RNAcentral's name for it is "bacterial SSU rRNA". It matches the Rfam family "Bacterial small subunit ribosomal RNA", at positions 338 to 916 of the family's 1533-position model. The record is from RNAcentral. Lineage: Bacteria; Pseudomonadati; Bacteroidota.